RNAcentral lists this ribosomal RNA (253 nucleotides) under uncultured bacterium. RNAcentral's name for it is "partial 16S ribosomal RNA". It matches the Rfam family "Bacterial small subunit ribosomal RNA", at positions 524 to 776 of the family's 1533-position model. The record is from RNAcentral.
UACAGAGGGGGCAAGCGUUGUUCGGAAUUACUGGGCGUAAAGGGCGUGCAGGCGGUUUGUUUAGUCUAGGGUGAAAGCUCCCGGCUUAACUGGGAGAGGUCCUUGGAUACUGGCAAACUUGAGGGAGGCAGAGGAAAGUGGAAUUCCCGGUGUAGUGGUGAUAUGCGUAGAUAUCGGGAGGAACACCAGUGGCGAAGGCGGCUUUCUGGGCCUUACCUGACGCUGAGACGCGAAAGCGUGGGGAGCGAACCGG